UGGCAACACUGUCAUGUAUGCAGCAAGAAGUGUCAUGUCGAGGACCGCGACGCCCCGAGCGCCAAGUCGAGGCUGGUUGCACUCUCGAGAAGGUGUAAAUCGAGGAAGUUCAUCUGAAGUGAAUUACAGCAUACGAAAAAUGACUCCACACGAAACAGUCCACACAGAGCGAUAUCUGUCUUCAGAGAUAUACCAACUUGGAGAAAUGUACAAUUGCUGUGUGAGGAGAAUGGUGUUUUGCUAGGACAUCGUUAGUGUGUGAGCGCAUUAGGAUAUGUGCAAUGCAAUGCCCAUAUAUCGUUCAACAGGAAGCUUAUAUAACUGGCAAAACCCACGGAACAUAAUCAACAACUGUGGUGACAGGAAAUCGACACCUAUAGAUUUCAGUUUUGAAAUUGACAUCUCUUUCUUCAAAUGAACAAUAAACUAACAGCAAACACUUCGGGACCGUAUACCACAAUUCAAGUAGGGACAUGGCAGCCUUUUAACCAAAGUUUAUUGAGUGAUAUAAACACGACUGCUAAUAUGAGAAUGAUUGGUCAGUAACACCACGUGUGUCAAUACCAGAGAUAAAAGACACAGUUCCUGUACUGCAAUAAACAUAUCCCCCCUCGUCCCGACAGUGACCACCGUAAUCAAAUCGCCCUUAAUCAGCACUGGGAGCGAAUUUGGACACUUUCGCUGUGCCCUGACCCAUAAACUCAGCAGCCGCCUUAAUAACAAUCUUCGCUUCAUGGGGUGCCUAGAUACCCUAAUCGAACACGCCUCGCCGCCUAGCCGUUGUUGUUUGUUUCUAGGUGUCUGCUCGCUUUGUAUGUUUGGCUGUUGGCUAAUACCUCAGUGUAAAGACAACAUAAUGACAAAUGUGUUCAUUUACUCCUGGUCUGGGUGUUUCUGCCCGAUUGCCCCUUUAUAGUCCGUGACUGGCCAGUCCAGUUUUAUUGCCAGUUGUACAGUGAGUGGUCAGACCGACCACUGGGUAAAAGGAAAUAAAUUGGCCUCGUUGACCGCUACCACUGAAUGGUCAGUAGAUGCGGCGCUUAAAGAAUAGUCAUGAAUGAUUCCAUUGAAAAUGUGCGGCUUUGUAAUUAUUUUCUUUUAUGAUUGUAGUAAGCUAUUCCUGACAAUUUGUUAUACCUGACACAAUCUAGAAGACUGGGCUCAAGGGCCGCUUGUUACACACAGAGACCGGCACUGGGACGUCGAAACGUUCAUAUUGAUCCUGGCGUAAUGUGAGGACUAAGAUGGCUGUUACUUGGACACAUGUUUGCAAUGUAGGCAUCACGUCGAGCUGAAGAAAUACUGUAUUAUAUACAGAAUGUAGGGAUUUUGAUAGACUAACUCUUAAGACUUUUGUUAGAAACAAGAAACAAAUAAUUCAAUAUAAGUCGAAAAAGAGAUUCAGAACUUCAUUCAAUAUGGUAAUGUCUGCACAAUAUGACCGUGGGAAUGUUCAUAAUGUGUUCUCAUUUUUACUGUGGAAGUGUUUGUAAUGUGUUCUCAUUUUGACCGUGAAAGUGUUGUAAUGUGUUCACAUUUUGACUGUGAAAAUAUUUGUAAUGUAUUAACAUUUUGACCGUGGAAGUGUAUCUCAUGUAUUCACAUUUUGACCCUGGAAGUGUCUCUAAUGUAUUCACAUUUUGA
This 1644-nucleotide long non-coding RNA is filed under the name Haliotis rubra (blacklip abalone). RNAcentral describes it as "uncharacterized LOC124277711". The record is from RNAcentral. Lineage: Eukaryota; Metazoa; Mollusca; Gastropoda; Lepetellida; Haliotidae.